CCCAGAUAACGCAGCUAUUAUUACAGAACUUGCUAUAUAAGAAUGUCUUGGAGCUUCUUUGAACAUCUUUGGUCUUGAAUUUACUCAAAAUAUCUGCCAACAAGAAAACAGAAAACAACAGGUGAGCUAUUUAGUAGUAAGAUCAAGUCUGGAAAGAAACAUGCAUGAAAAUUAAGAAGAGCUAGAGUAUGGAUGCCCAAACAGUUUUCGUGCACGUCAUGCCAAGUUAGGCAACACGUAGAAUGCAUAUGGGCCAUAAAAAUGAUCAAAUGAGGAAGGGAUGAAGCCAAACAAUGGUUCCUCCUUACAAUGAUCACAUUUAGAUAACAACGACCUACUACAGUUCAUGUUACAACAACACUAGUUCAUGUGAGAAACACACAGGGUCCAAAGUACAAACCAAAAACAAUCUGACUUGGAAUAUGAUGUCCACCUUAUAGUACUACAUCAUCAUCAGGAUUAAAACAACACAUUUAUAGUCAGAGUGUUGGAUGAGACAAAUAUCAAUUGAAAAAAAGACAAGGUAGCAUCAAAUCAGGUUAUAGUUUGUGGGAAUCAAUGCACACAGCAUGAACGACAAGGUAGCAUCAAAUCAGAUGAUGAUUGCAUACAUACAAAUCAUGUGCUGGCAGAAAAAAAUCCAAGCAGGAUCUCAUCUUCCCUCUCUGUUUGGUAACUAACAACCUAAAUAAAAUAAAAUAAAAACAUGACUUGUUCAUACAGAUCCCUCUAAAAUUCCUUGGGACAAGUGCAUCACAUAUUCAUCAACUUAGCAGCAGAAGUAGUGAGCACGGGAAGAGGGGGAGGGAGAUGGAGGAGCUACCUGCCGUGGUCGCAAUGGAAGCAGAGGAGCAGACCCCUCCUGCCCCUCCCCCACGAGCAGGACAGGGCUGCCGGCUGGGCAUGCCCCUACUCCUCCGCCUCCUUGAUCAGGAGACCCCC
RNAcentral lists this long non-coding RNA (942 nucleotides) under Triticum aestivum (bread wheat). Its description in RNAcentral is "long non-coding RNA (TAES_LNC002857)". The record is from RNAcentral. Lineage: Eukaryota; Viridiplantae; Streptophyta; Magnoliopsida; Poales; Poaceae.